UGUUAAGCCUGGCCAGGGGGCGGGGGAGUAGUGAGGGUCGAGGGUGUAAUCGUGAUUACUGGUCGUAAAGCGGGGGCAGGGGGUGUGUUAAGGGAGAGGGUAAAGCCCUGGGCUCAACCUAGGAAUAUCAUUUCGAACUGGCGAACUAGAGUCUUGUAGAGGUGGGUAGAAUUCCAGGUGUAGCGGUGAAAUGCGUAGAGAUCUGGAGGAAUACCGGUGGCGAAGGCGGCCCCCUGGACAAAGACUGACGCUCAUGCACGAAAGCGUGGGGAGCAAACAGGAUUAGAUACCCGAGUCGUC
This 300-nucleotide ribosomal RNA is filed under the name uncultured Prauserella sp. RNAcentral describes it as "bacterial SSU rRNA". The stretch from base 55 to 300 matches the Rfam family "Bacterial small subunit ribosomal RNA", at positions 550 to 795 of the family's 1533-position model. The record is from RNAcentral. Lineage: Bacteria; Bacillati; Actinomycetota; Actinomycetes; Pseudonocardiales; Pseudonocardiaceae.